GUUGAAACAUUUCCCAAACCAUCACCCUGGUUUGAGGGCAUUUGUCAUCCUGCCUUCCCAUCGCCUGAGCCUGUUUCAAAACUUCUCAAGUCUGUAGCAGGCCUUGGUCGUACAAAGAUCUGUCAAGAGAACUAGACUUGGAAAUGAUAACAGAGGAAGAACAAGAAAAACUUGAUGAAGAUGAAAAUAACCAUGCACAGGUUGAAGAAGAAAAGAAGCACAAAAGUAGUGAAGUGGAAGUAUCAGAGAACAUAUGCGAUGCUGCUGAUGAGAGUGAAUUGUUUCAGUAGAGAAAGAGUGGAGGAAACAGCAACCAGGAGUUUCCUGCUAUGCAUAAUGAGGGUUCUGAUAGGUAAUCCUAUAUCAGUAUUUAACAGCACAUCCCUUGUUACAUUCC
Molecule: long non-coding RNA, 397 nt
Filed under: Bos indicus x Bos taurus (hybrid cattle)
Lineage: Eukaryota; Metazoa; Chordata; Mammalia; Artiodactyla; Bovidae
Description: lncRNA (ENSBIXG00000002383.1)
Source: RNAcentral